UCCCGACGCUCCAAGUCGCAGCCACAAUUAUUGGGUCUAAAACAUUCGUAGCUUGUAUUGUAAGUUCUUUGUGAAAUCCGACAUCUUAAGUGUCGGGCGUGCAAAGAAUACUGCUCUACUUGAGACCGGAAGAUGUAAGGAGUACGAAUGAGGUAGUAGUAAAAUACGUUAAUCUCAUUUGGACUAACAAUAGCGAAGGCACCUUACAAGUACGGAUCUGACAGUGAGGAAUGAAGGCUAGGGUCGCGAAAGG
This 253-nucleotide ribosomal RNA is filed under the name uncultured archaeon. Its description in RNAcentral is "partial 16S ribosomal RNA". It matches the Rfam family "Archaeal small subunit ribosomal RNA", at positions 474 to 726 of the family's 1478-position model. The record is from RNAcentral.